AAAGGGAGACCUAAUUCAGGUAAAAGACGAAAAAAAAGUAGUCGCUACCAAGAAUCAAUCCCAAAAGGUCGGAGCGAGGCGAAAUUGGCUUUCAAACUAGGUUCUGGGUUCAAACAAGACCUGAAUCGGGAACAAGGGCUAUUAGCUCAGGUGGUUAGAGCGCACCCCUGAUAAGGGUGAGGUCCCUGGUUCGAGUCCAGGAUGGCCCACCUGCACAGGUGGCAAAAACAAGAGAAGCGAGGAAUCAGCACCUUAUCUUACUGACAUAGUAAGAGAGAAUGCUGGCUCUGAGUAAAGAGUCCAGAGGAACCUUGAAAACUGCAUAGAGCUAGGUGAAAAAGCCAAAAAAGAAGACCGCAAG
Molecule: transfer RNA, 361 nt
Filed under: uncultured Microcystis sp.
Lineage: Bacteria; Bacillati; Cyanobacteriota; Cyanophyceae; Chroococcales; Microcystaceae
Description: partial 16S-23S ribosomal RNA intergenic spacer
Rfam family: tRNA (bases 136-209)
Source: RNAcentral